RNAcentral lists this ribosomal RNA (2898 nucleotides) under Pseudomonas syringae. Its description in RNAcentral is "bacterial LSU rRNA". It matches the Rfam family "Bacterial large subunit ribosomal RNA". The record is from RNAcentral. Lineage: Bacteria; Pseudomonadati; Pseudomonadota; Gammaproteobacteria; Pseudomonadales; Pseudomonadaceae.
AUAUGGUCAAGUGAAGAAGCGCAUACGGUGGAUGCCUUGGCAGUCAGAGGCGAUGAAAGACGUGGUAGCCUGCGAAAAGCUUCGGGGAGUCGGCAAACAGACUGUGAUCCGGAGAUGUCUGAAUGGGGGAACCCAGCCAUCACAAGAUGGUUAUCUUACGCUGAAUACAUAGGCGUAAGAGGCGAACCAGGGGAACUGAAACAUCUAAGUACCCUGAGGAAAAGAAAUCAACCGAGAUUCCCUUAGUAGUGGCGAGCGAACGGGGACCAGCCCUUAAGUUGUAUUGAGAUUAGCGGAACGCUCUGGAAAGGGCGGCCAUAGUGGGUGAUAGCCCUGUACGCGAAAAUCCCUUUGCAAUGAAAUCGAGUAGGACGGGGCACGAGAAACCUUGUCUGAAUAUGGGGGGACCAUCCUCCAAGGCUAAAUACUACUGACUGACCGAUAGUGAACCAGUACCGUGAGGGAAAGGCGAAAAGAACCGCGGAGAGCGGAGUGAAAUAGAUCCUGAAACCGUAUGCGUACAAGCAGUGGGAGCCCACUUUGUUGGGUGACUGCGUACCUUUUGUAUAAUGGGUCAGCGACUUAUUUUCAGUGGCGAGCUUAACCGAAUAGGGGAGGCGUAGCGAAAGCGAGUCUUAAUAGGGCGUCUAGUCGCUGGGAAUAGACCCGAAACCGGGCGAUCUAUCCAUGGGCAGGUUGAAGGUUGGGUAACACUAACUGGAGGACCGAACCGACUACCGUUGAAAAGUUAGCGGAUGACCUGUGGAUCGGAGUGAAAGGCUAAUCAAGCUCGGAGAUAGCUGGUUCUCCUCGAAAGCUAUUUAGGUAGCGCCUCAUGUAUCACUGUAGGGGGUAGAGCACUGUUUCGGCUAGGGGGUCAUCCCGACUUACCAAACCGAUGCAAACUCCGAAUACCUACAAGUGCCGAGCAUGGGAGACACACGGCGGGUGCUAACGUCCGUCGUGAAAAGGGAAACAACCCAGACCGUCAGCUAAGGUCCCAAAGUCAUGGUUAAGUGGGAAACGAUGUGGGAAGGCUUAGACAGCUAGGAGGUUGGCUUAGAAGCAGCCACCCUUUAAAGAAAGCGUAAUAGCUCACUAGUCGAGUCGGCCUGCGCGGAAGAUGUAACGGGGCUCAAACCAUGCACCGAAGCUACGGGUAUCAUCUUAUGAUGAUGCGGUAGAGGAGCGUUCUGUAAGCCUGUGAAGGUGAGUUGAGAAGCUUGCUGGAGGUAUCAGAAGUGCGAAUGCUGACAUGAGUAACGACAAUGGGUGUGAAAAACACCCACGCCGAAAGACCAAGGUUUCCUGCGCAACGUUAAUCGACGCAGGGUUAGUCGGUCCCUAAGGCGAGGCUGAAAAGCGUAGUCGAUGGAAAACAGGUUAAUAUUCCUGUACUUCUGGUUAUUGCGAUGGAGGGACGGAGAAGGCUAGGCCAGCCUGGCGUUGGUAGUCCAGGUUUAAGGUGGUAGGCUGAGAUCUUAGGUAAAUCCGGGAUCUUAAGGCCGAGAGCUGAUGACGAGUGUUCUUUUAGAACACGAAGUGGUUGAUGCCAUGCUUCCAAGAAAAGCUUCUAAGCUUCAGGUAACCAGGAACCGUACCCCAAACCGACACAGGUGGUUGGGUAGAGAAUACCAAGGCGCUUGAGAGAACUCGGGUGAAGGAACUAGGCAAAAUGGCACCGUAACUUCGGGAGAAGGUGCGCCGGUGAGGGUGAAGCAUUUACUGCGUAAGCCCAUACCGGUCGAAGAUACCAGGCCGCUGCGACUGUUUAUUAAAAACACAGCACUCUGCAAACACGAAAGUGGACGUAUAGGGUGUGACGCCUGCCCGGUGCCGGAAGGUUAAUUGAUGGGGUUAGCGCAAGCGAAGCUCUUGAUCGAAGCCCCGGUAAACGGCGGCCGUAACUAUAACGGUCCUAAGGUAGCGAAAUUCCUUGUCGGGUAAGUUCCGACCUGCACGAAUGGCGUAACGAUGGCGGCGCUGUCUCCACCCGAGACUCAGUGAAAUUGAAAUCGCUGUGAAGAUGCAGUGUAUCCGCGGCUAGACGGAAAGACCCCGUGAACCUUUACUAUAGCUUUGCACUGGACUUUGAAUUUGCUUGUGUAGGAUAGGUGGGAGGCUUUGAAGCGUGGACGCCAGUCUGCGUGGAGCCAACCUUGAAAUACCACCCUGGCAACUUUGAGGUUCUAACUCAGGUCCGUUAUCCGGAUCGAGGACAGUGUAUGGUGGGUAGUUUGACUGGGGCGGUCUCCUCCUAAAGAGUAACGGAGGAGUACGAAGGUGCGCUCAGACCGGUCGGAAAUCGGUCGUAGAGUAUAAAGGCAAAAGCGCGCUUGACUGCGAGACAGACACGUCGAGCAGGUACGAAAGUAGGUCUUAGUGAUCCGGUGGUUCUGUAUGGAAGGGCCAUCGCUCAACGGAUAAAAGGUACUCCGGGGAUAACAGGCUGAUACCGCCCAAGAGUUCAUAUCGACGGCGGUGUUUGGCACCUCGAUGUCGGCUCAUCACAUCCUGGGGCUGAAGCCGGUCCCAAGGGUAUGGCUGUUCGCCAUUUAAAGUGGUACGCGAGCUGGGUUUAGAACGUCGUGAGACAGUUCGGUCCCUAUCUGCCGUGGACGUUUGAGAUUUGAGAGGGGCUGCUCCUAGUACGAGAGGACCGGAGUGGACGAACCUCUGGUGUUCCGGUUGUCACGCCAGUGGCAUUGCCGGGUAGCUAUGUUCGGAAAAGAUAACCGCUGAAAGCAUCUAAGCGGGAAACUUGCCUCAAGAUGAGAUCUCACUGGAACCUUGAGUUCCCUGAAGGGCCGUCGAAGACUACGACGUUGAUAGGUUGGGUGUGUAAGCGCUGUGAGGCGUUGAGCUAACCAAUACUAAUUGCCCGUGAGGCUUGACCAU